This is a long non-coding RNA of Mus musculus (house mouse), 1514 nucleotides long. RefSeq annotates it as predicted gene, 26535. The transcript has 9 exons. Lineage: Eukaryota; Metazoa; Chordata; Mammalia; Rodentia; Muridae. The record is from RefSeq and is a predicted model, not a curated record.
UCUAAGCUCUGGUGCCAAGGCAGAGCUGAGUGGUACGUGUCUGACUGUGAGUGUUUGCCUGGGCCAAAGUCUCCCCUGGAGGGGUCACGCUAAAGGAGUGGAAAGGUGAAACCCAGAGGAAGAAGAACCUACUUUGAAGGCUUCAGUGGAUUAAAAGAUAUGCCUUUCCUCCCUGUGUCAGGUCUUUGGAAAGUGGUGUUCUGCUGUGAGAGGAAGUCGGGUCUGGAGGUAUUGGAAAGGCUUGGGAGAUCAUUCAAACACACUGGAUAUGAGAACAGAAGCAUGUCAGCGUGGAAGAACUUUGAUCUUUAACCAAAUAGGACCAACUAGCUUUGUCCAGAGGAGAUCAAAGGGUGGAAGGUAAGAAGUGCUGAAAGCUGGCAAAGAAUCACCAAAAGGAGACACAAAAGAGAGAGUCCCAAUCAAGCUUAAUGACAGACACAGUCUAAAGCCCCGUGUUCCAGAUUUUUUCGAAAUGAAGCAGCCAACGAAAUCAAAACUGUGGACAAAAUUCCUUUGCUAAGAAGUGAAGAGGAUUUGGUUUUAGUCAAGAUGCGAAUGAGCUAACCUGUUCUCUGUGCUCCCGAAGGACAACUUCCAGCUCUGUUUCAGGGAAUUAGACCUAGUUUUCUUUGAGGAACCCUGGCUGAGCAUCAGCUGCUUAUCACACAUGACUGGAAGCGAUUGACCUAGUGUUAGCAGGAUGACCUGAGAUGAAAAAUUACAACAGAAACGCUUCUUUCUUGACAAAAUAUUCUCCUUCAAAUCCAAGUGUUGCCUGCUUUGUGAUGUCACAGUGAAAAGGCAUUGCACAAGUGAUAACAGCCUGCAAUGCCCAGAAAGGAGUUGGUGGCAAGUCACAGACCACACCCCAACCUUUCAGUCCUUUUGCUAAUUUCUGCUGCUUCACUUCAGAGUCCCAGAACAACAGUGUGAUGACUCACCAGCCUUACUUCCUGCUGUGGAGUGCUUUCUCCUGCUCAGCAAGGCUCAGUGCUGAAUUUCCUGUGACAUUUGCAUUUGUUAUUAAGGCCUGGGAUCCUGCAGUCACAUUCCAUGUUGGUGAGUCCAUAGAAGGGAAAUUCCUAGGGUCAACUCUUCUCACCAUCUGACUGAUAACAUGUUUGUGUUCUGAGAAGGCUAACUUUUGAGGAUGUUGGAAGAUGAUGAAGAAUUCUGAGUCUCUUCUGGACUGUGAAGGAGACCUUCUAGAAAGUUGUGUCUGCUGAGACUGAUUGACUGAUUAGAAUUUCAGUGCUAUGGAGAGAUUUGAAUGUUACAGGUCCAGAGGCUAAUUACCUUAUCUUCGGUUAACUUUACCUGCACACCUCAACAGCUAUUCCUUGUGUGCCUCUGUGUCAGAACCAGCAUCCUGUGACUAAUAGAUAAAAGCCUUUGGAAACUAUUAAUUUAACAGACCUUCUACCAAGCCCAAAGAUAACAGUGUUAACAGAUAACAUCUUUGGUCUAUAAAAUAAGUUUCCUCAACCUUGCUGUAACCACCUCUCAGAUAU